This 302-nucleotide ribosomal RNA is filed under the name uncultured bacterium. RNAcentral's name for it is "partial 16S ribosomal RNA". It matches the Rfam family "Bacterial small subunit ribosomal RNA", at positions 508 to 809 of the family's 1533-position model. The record is from RNAcentral.
GCAGUAGCCACGGGAAUACAGAGGGUGCGAGCGUUAAUCGGAUUUACUGGGCGUAAAGCGUGCGUAGGCGGCUUCUUAAGUCGGAUGUGAAAUCCCUGAGCUUAACUUAGGAAUUGCAUUCGAUACUGGGAAGCUAGAGUAUGGGAGAGGAUGGUAGAAUUCCAGGUGUAGCGGUGAAAUGCGUAGAGAUCUGGAGGAAUACCGAUGGCGAAGGCAGCCAUCUGGCCUAAUACUGACGCUGAGGUACGAAAGCAUGGGGAGCAAACAGGAUUAGAUACCCCAGUAGUCCCUGUAUCUUAUAA